RNAcentral lists this ribosomal RNA (1287 nucleotides) under uncultured bacterium. RNAcentral describes it as "bacterial SSU rRNA". It matches the Rfam family "Bacterial small subunit ribosomal RNA", at positions 1 to 1289 of the family's 1533-position model. The record is from RNAcentral.
UUAGAGUUUGAUCCUGGCUCAGGAUGAACGCUAGCGGCAGGCUUAACACAUGCAAGUCGAGGGGCAGCGAGAUCAGUGCUUGCACUGAUUGUCGGCGACCGGCGCACGGGUGCGUAACGCGUAUGCAACCUACCCAUUACAGGGGGAUAACACUGAGAAAUCGGUACUAAUACCCCAUAACAUCCAGGGAGGCAUCUUCUUGGGUUGAAAACUCCGGUGGUAAUGGAUGGGCAUGCGUUGUAUUAGUUAGUUGGUGGGGUAACGGCUCACCAAGACAACGAUACAUAGGGGGACUGAGAGGUUAACCCCCCACAUUGGUACUGAGACACGGACCAAACUCCUACGAGAGGCAGCAGUGAGGAAUAUUGGUCAAUGGACGCAAGUCUGAACCAGCCAUGCCGCGUGCAGGAAGACGGCUCUAUGAGUUGUAAACUGCUUUUGUACGAGGGUAAACGCAGAUACGCGUAUCUGUCUGAAAGUAUCGUACGAAUAAGGAUCGGUUAACUCCGUGCCAGCAGCCGCGGUAAUACGGAGGAUUCAAGCGUUAUCCGGAUUUAUUGGGUUUAAAGGGUGCGUAGGCGGUCGGAUAAGUUAGAGAUGAAAUCCCGGGGCUCAACUUCGGAAUUGCCUCUGAUACUGUUCGGCUAGAGAGUAGUUGCGGUAGGCGGAAUGUAUGGUGUAGCGGUGAAAUGCUUAGAGAUCAUACAGAACACCGAUUGCGAAGGCAGCUUACCAAGCUACUUCUGACGUUGAGGCACGAAAGCGUGGGGAGCAAACAGGAUUAGAUACCCUGGUAGUCCACGCAGUAAACGAUGAUAACUGUUGGUGGGCGAUACAGUGUCGGUGACUAAGCGAAAGCGAUAAGUUAUCCACUUGGGGAGUACGUUAGCAAGAAUGAAACUCAAGGGAAUUGACGGGGGCCCGCACCAGCGGAGGAACAUGUGGUUUAAUUUGAUGAUACGCGAGGAACCUUACCCGGGCUUGAAAGUUAGUGACGGAUCUAGAAAGAGGUCUUCCCUUCGGGGCACGCAACUAGGUGCUGCAUGGUUGUCGUCAGCUCGUGCCGUGAGGUGUCGGGUUAAGUCCCAUAACGAGCGCAACCCCUACCGUUAGUUGCCAGCAGGUCAAGCUGGGCACUCUGACGGGACUGCCGGUGUAAGCCGAGAGGAAGGUGGGGAUGACGUCAAAUCAGCACGGCCCUUACGUCCGGGGCUACACACGUGUUACAAUGGCAGGUACAGAGGGCAGCUACCCAGCGAUGGGAUGCGAAUCUCGAAAGCCUGUCUC